Molecule: ribosomal RNA, 164 nt
Filed under: Camellia hongkongensis
Lineage: Eukaryota; Viridiplantae; Streptophyta; Magnoliopsida; Ericales; Theaceae
Description: 5.8S ribosomal RNA
Rfam family: 5.8S ribosomal RNA
About the family: 5.8S ribosomal RNA (5.8S rRNA) is a component of the large subunit of the eukaryotic ribosome. It is transcribed by RNA polymerase I as part of the 45S precursor that also contains 18S and 28S rRNA.
Source: RNAcentral
UAAGCGACUCUCGGCAACGGAUAUCUCGGCUCUCGCAUCGAUGAAGAACGUAGCGAAAUGCGAUACUUGGUGUGAAUUGCAGAAUCCCGCGAACCAUCGAGUCUUUGAACGCAAGUUGCGCCUGAAGCCAUUAGGUUGAGGGCACGUCUGCCUGGGCGUCUCAC